This 460-nucleotide ribosomal RNA is filed under the name uncultured bacterium. RNAcentral's name for it is "partial 16S ribosomal RNA". It matches the Rfam family "Bacterial small subunit ribosomal RNA", at positions 338 to 795 of the family's 1533-position model. The record is from RNAcentral.
CCUACGGGGUGCAGCAGUGAGGAAUAUUGGUCAAUGGGCUUACGCCUGAACCAGCCAAGUCGCGUGAGGGAAGACUGCCCUAUGGGUUGUAAACCUCUUUUAUAAGGGAAUAAAGUGCGGGACGUGUCCCGUUUUGUAUGUACCUUAUGAAUAAGGAUCGGCUAACUCCGUGCCAGCAGCCGCGGUAAUACGGAGGAUCCGAGCGUUAUCCGGAUUUAUUGGGUUUAAAGGGUGCGUAGGCGGCCUUUUAAGUCAGCGGUGAAAGUCUGUGGCUCAACCAUAGAAUUGCCGUUGAAACUGGGAGUCUUGAGUAUGUUUGAGGCAGGCGGAAUGCGUGGUGUAGCGGUGAAAUGCUUAGAUAUCACGCAGAACCCCGAUUGCGAAGGCAGCCUGCCAAGCCAUGACUGACGCUGAUGCACGAAAGCGUGGGGAUCAAACAGGAUUAGAUACCCCUGUAGUC